UGGGCAAAAUGGCGUAUGGCGCCCAGAGUCCAGACUCCYUGCCCGCACCCGCCCACCGAGUACCAUAACACUCCCGUCUCCCGGCGGCCGGCGUUUCCAUUCAGAUUUCAGAGUCUAAUUGCCGUAUCAUAUAACAGACGUAACAGCAGCAUUUGCCGACUGCCGAGUUGUGCUCGCAAGGCCCGGUGACUGACCAAAAAUCACAACACUGAACACUCAUUUUUCGAGAGUCAUCACACCGCCAGUUGUCGACCCGCCGAGUCCGUCCGACGAAUAUAUCGAAACUGAAACGGACUGCAAUCGUCGCGUCGUCGUUUAGCUCUUCCAGGACAUCCCUCGACAACUGAUACAUAACGGCAACAGGUCAAUCGCAAAAGAUAUUAUUUAAAAUAUGUCAUCGUCAUCAAGAUACAGGGAUUCUGGMAAUCCAGAUUGCAAAAUAUAUGUUGGUGAUCUAGGAUCAUCCGCAUCCAAACAAGAUUUAGAAGAUGCUUUUUCAUAUUACGGUUCAAUUCGUAAUGUUUGGGUUGCACGUAACCCUCCUGGUUUUGCUUUUGUUGAAUUUGAAGAUCCAAGAGAUGCAGAAGAUGCAGUUAGAGGUUUAGAUGGAAGGAGCAUUUGUGGUAGACGAGUCAGAGUUGAAUUGUCUAAUGCUGGAUCACGUAAAGGUGCUUAUCGGGGAGGUCCGCCUCGACGAGGACGUCCAUUUCAUCCUGAAGACAAAUGUUAUGAAUGCGGUGAUAGAGGACAUUAUGCUCGUGACUGUAGACGUUUUAAGGGAGGACGACGCAGGAUGUUCGGCUGAGAGCGUCUCUUCUCGUAGUGUCGAUCGUCGUAGAGCUCUCAACCAAAAUAAUAUAUUUUGAUCUUCUACUACGAGCAAUGUGUGUUAGUCGUCGGACUACGGCGCAACUAUCUGUCUGUCUGCGUUUAUCGAUGUACUCAGCUACACUAGAACCCCAUCGAGCCCAACCAACCUAAUGAUUUUUAUUCUGAUGCUCUAAUUAGCUAUCGGUGAACGUACACAGACAUUCAGAGACAGAAAGAGUUAUAAAUUAGAUCUACAUAACGCCACUUGCUGUCUACAUAGCAUUACCACAAUGUCAUUUUAGGAGAAUGUUGAACUUCGUUUUUUUAUGUCAUACACUCCUUCUCGGUCUCGUUCACGAUCAUACAGCCGUAGUCGUCGUUCUCGUUCAGGUUCAAGAUCUCUUUCGCGGUCC
Diuraphis noxia (Russian wheat aphid) is the source of this 1223-nucleotide unclassified non-coding RNA. Lineage: Eukaryota; Metazoa; Arthropoda; Insecta; Hemiptera; Aphididae. The record is from RefSeq and is a predicted model, not a curated record.